UGGGGAGCGAAAUUUAGUAGCGAAGUAGCUGAUUUCACACUGUCAAGAAAAGUCUCUAUCGAGGUUAAAGGUACCCGUACCGCAAACCGACACAGGUGGGUGAGGCGAGUAUCCUAAGGCCCGCGAGAGAACUGUUGUUAAGGAACUCGUCACAAUGACACCGUAACUUAGGGAUACGGGGUGCCACCAUCCGGUGUCCGCAGAGAAUAGGCCCAAGCGACUGUUUACCAAAUACAUAG
This 239-nucleotide ribosomal RNA is filed under the name Clostridioides difficile. RNAcentral's name for it is "partial 23S ribosomal RNA". It matches the Rfam family "Bacterial large subunit ribosomal RNA", at positions 1567 to 1818 of the family's 2925-position model. The record is from RNAcentral. Lineage: Bacteria; Bacillati; Bacillota; Clostridia; Peptostreptococcales; Peptostreptococcaceae.